UAUACCAAAUAUUUAUAAAGGAUAUCCGUGUAUGUGAUUACUUUUACAAAUUUCCGCAGGUUUGGGACAGAUAAUGAGAUAAUGUAUGGUAUUAACGAAAAACAAGUGUUUAUGCGGUUCUUGUAAUUCUAGAAUCAUUACAUACAAGACCAUUUUCAAUACUUUAAGAUAGUAUUUAAUCAAGGGUAAAAUCGUCAAACACCUAUACUUAAUGAAAAAAAAGGGUCCAAAAAAGGGAUAACAAACAAUUAUGAAUCUUCCACCACAUUUAGAGCUUAAAUUUCUCUACUUAGAAAAUUGAGAAAAGCCCUAGAGCUUUGAAGCAGCCUGGUUAUCCAAAAACCACACAAGUUUCCCUACAGUUGGUUCAAUCAUCCUAGCUGGCAAAACCGGACACUCGGGUCCCACAUCACCUAUCGCCAUCCGGGAAGCCUCCGCUUUCCCGCCACCUGUCACCACCACCACCACAUUGGCGGCAGAGUUGAUAACAGGCAGUGUGAAGGUGAUUCUUUCGGGCGGAGGCUUAGGGGACGUGGUGAUAAAUGUCACCCAUUCGUUCUUUUCUUCAAGAGCCGAAUGAUUCGGAAACAAAGAUGCCACGUGCCCAUCCGGACCCAUCCCUAGAAGAAUUAAGUCAAACUUCGGGCAGUCGCUGACCUCGGAUACGUCGACCACACGGGUCCUGACUAGUUGCCUGAUCACAAACUCGUAUUCGUUUGCAGCUUCUUCUGCGGUUAGAGAAUCAUUGAUGGAAUGUACAUGACUAGGUACAAUAGGUAAGUUACCUUGGACAAAAGAUGAUCUUUAGCAAGCUUAUAGUUGCUAUCAACAUGAUUCUUGGCAACCACUCUUUCAUCUGCCCAAAAUAUAUACCAUUUUGACCAGUCAACAGUCUUGUUAUAAGGAGCUCCACAUAGAUUCCUGUUUUCACCUCAAAUUACAAUAUUCAAAAGGGAAAUUUUGACACAUAAACACAUGAUCAAACAUGAUUUUCUACCUCAUCAAGCUAAUGAUGGAGCCACCCGACAACGCAAUGGCGA
RNAcentral lists this long non-coding RNA (1040 nucleotides) under Helianthus annuus (common sunflower). RNAcentral's name for it is "hypothetical non coding rna". Lineage: Eukaryota; Viridiplantae; Streptophyta; Magnoliopsida; Asterales; Asteraceae. The record is from RNAcentral.